GACGAACGCUGGCGGCGUGCUUAACACAUGCAAGUCGAACGGAAAGGCCCUGCUUUUGUGGGGUGCUCGAGUUGCGAACGGGUGAGUAACACGUGAGUAACCUGCCCUUGACUUUGGGAUAACUUCAUGAAACUGGGGCUAAUACCGGAUAGGAGCUCCUGCUGCAUGGUGGGGGUUGGAAAGUUUCGGCGGUUGGGGAUGGACUCGCGGCUUAUCAGCUUGUUGGUGGGGUAGUGGCUUACCAAGGCUUUGACGGGUAGCCGGCCUGGGAGGGUGACCGGACAAAUUGGGACUGAGAUGCGGCCCAGACUCGUACGGGAGGCAGGAGAGGGGAAGAGUGCACAAGGGGCGGAAGGAUAAUGCAGCAAAGCAGCGUGGGGGAUGACGGCAAUGGGGUUGUAAAGCGCAGUCGCCUGUGACGAAACGUGAGUGACGGUAAUGGGUAAAGAAGCACCGGCUAACUACGUG
Molecule: ribosomal RNA, 468 nt
Filed under: uncultured bacterium
Lineage: Bacteria
Description: partial 16S ribosomal RNA
Rfam family: Bacterial small subunit ribosomal RNA
Source: RNAcentral